AGAGUUUGAUCCUGGCUCGAGACGAACGCUGGCGGCGUGCUUAACACAUGCAAGUCGAACGGAGUGAAGCCCUUCGGGGCUGAGCUUAGUGGCGGACGGGUGGAGUAACACGUGAGCAACCUGCCCAUUACAGGGGGAUAGCAGCUGGAAACGGCUGGUAAUACCGCAUAAGACCACAGUACCGCAUGGUACCGGGGUAAAAGGAGAGAUCCGGUAAUGGAUGGGGCUCGCGUCCCAUUAGGUAGUUGGUGAGAUAACAGCCCACCAAGCCGACGAUGGGUAACCGACUUGAGAGAGUGAUCGGUCACAUUGGAACUGAGAAACGGUCCAAACUCCUACGGGAGGCAGCAGUGGGGGAAUAUUGGGCAAUGGGGGAAACCCUGACCCAGCAACGCCGCGUGAGGGAAGAAGGCCUUCGGGUUGUAAACCUCUGUCCUCGGGGACGAAACAAAUGACGGUACCCGGGGAGGAAGCCCCGGCUAACUACGUGCC
RNAcentral lists this ribosomal RNA (492 nucleotides) under uncultured organism. RNAcentral's name for it is "SSU rRNA". It matches the Rfam family "Bacterial small subunit ribosomal RNA", at positions 8 to 509 of the family's 1533-position model. The record is from RNAcentral.